This 225-nucleotide unclassified non-coding RNA is filed under the name Hygrocybe conica. RNAcentral's name for it is "partial internal transcribed spacer 2". The record is from RNAcentral. Lineage: Eukaryota; Fungi; Basidiomycota; Agaricomycetes; Agaricales; Hygrophoraceae.
AAUCCUCAAAAGAGAAAACUUUAAUGGUUCCUCUCUUUUUGGAAUUGGGGCGUGCUGGCCUUUUCUUGGAAAGCCCAGCUCCCCUGAAAUACAUUAGCGAUGUGACAUCCUCGUGCUCCACGCUUCUCUGGCAUUGAUAGUCUUUUCAUGCUUGAGGCGUGUUUUUGCAGCUGUGGAAAGUUUCGCUCGCUCACAACUGAUGGGUUGUUGCCCAUCCUCUGACCA